UACGGGGGGGGCAAGCGUUGUUCGGAAUUACUGGGCGUAAAGGGCUCGUAGGUGGCCAACUAAGUCAGACGUGAAAUCUCUGGGCUUAACCCGGAAACUGCCGUUGAUACUAUCUGUCUUGAAUGUAGUGGAGGUGAGCGGAAUAUGUCAUGUAGCGGUGAAAUGCUUAGAUAUGACAUAGAACAUCGAUUGCGAAGGCAGCUCGCUACACUAUGAUUGACACUGAGGCACGAAAGCGUGGGGAUCAAACAGG
RNAcentral lists this ribosomal RNA (253 nucleotides) under uncultured bacterium. Its description in RNAcentral is "partial 16S ribosomal RNA". It matches the Rfam family "Bacterial small subunit ribosomal RNA", at positions 524 to 776 of the family's 1533-position model. The record is from RNAcentral.